Molecule: long non-coding RNA, 305 nt
Organism: Bactrocera neohumeralis
Lineage: Eukaryota; Metazoa; Arthropoda; Insecta; Diptera; Tephritidae
Exons: 2
Source: RefSeq, a predicted model, not a curated record
UCGACAGCUGGUGAAACCUGAAAAAUUACACGCGGGAUUCCCAAAGAAGAAAAUGACAAUUUUGUAUGCGAUAAAAAUUUACCGUUAUUUAUAUAAUAAAAAGUGGGUUUUAUUCUGCUUUCUGGUGUAAAUAGCUUUGAUCGUCUUGUAAGAAGUUUGUCAACGCGGAUGCAUCGUUUUUCCGAAGAGUCUGCGGAAAUGACGUCAUAAUUUUUUAAUACUUUUGUUUGAAAAUUUUGCCAAGUCUUUGUAGAAUAUGUAUCUCUGGAAUAAUAAAAAAUUUGAAUAAAAAUAUUUAAUUUUUU